GUGCUCUCUUCGGCAGCACAUAUACUAAAAUUCGAACAAUACAGAGAAGAUUAGCAUGGCCCCUGCACAAGGAUGACACGUAAAUUCAUGAAGCAUAUUUU
This 101-nucleotide small nuclear RNA is filed under the name Erinaceus europaeus (western European hedgehog). The record is from RNAcentral. Lineage: Eukaryota; Metazoa; Chordata; Mammalia; Eulipotyphla; Erinaceidae.